UCAAUGGUGGUUCAGUGGUAGAAUUCUCACCUUCCAUGCAGGAGUCCCUGGUUCAAUUCCUGGCCAAUGCA
This 71-nucleotide transfer RNA is filed under the name Loxodonta africana (African savanna elephant). It matches the Rfam family "tRNA". From Rfam's summary of the family: Transfer RNA (tRNA) molecules are approximately 80 nucleotides in length. Their secondary structure includes four short double-helical elements and three loops (D, anti-codon, and T loops). Further hydrogen bonds mediate the characteristic L-shaped molecular structure. tRNAs have two regions of fundamental functional importance: the anti-codon, which is responsible for specific mRNA codon recognition, and the 3' end, to which the tRNAs corresponding amino acid is attached (by aminoacyl-tRNA synthetases). tRNAs cope with the degeneracy of the genetic code in two manners: having more than one tRNA (with a specific anti-codon) for a particular amino acid; and 'wobble' base-pairing, i.e. permitting non-standard base-pairing at the 3rd anti-codon position. Lineage: Eukaryota; Metazoa; Chordata; Mammalia; Proboscidea; Elephantidae. The record is from Rfam by way of RNAcentral.